GUACAAUAAGAACUUCAAGACACUGAAGAAAGAAAUUGAAGAAGUCCUCAGAAGAUGGAAAGAUCUCCCAUGCUCAUGGAUCGGCAGGAUUAAUAUAGUAAAAAUGGCCAUUCUACCAAAAGCGAUCUACAGAUUCAAUGCAAUCCCCAUCAAAAUACCAAUCCAAUUCUUCAAAGAGUUAGACAGAACAAUUUGCAAAUUCAUCUGGAAUAACAAAAAACCCAGAAUAGCUAAAACUGUCCUCAACAAUAAAAGGAUUUCAGGGGGAAACACUAUCCC
RNAcentral lists this long non-coding RNA (279 nucleotides) under Rattus norvegicus (Norway rat). RNAcentral's name for it is "long non-coding RNA NONRATT000932". The record is from RNAcentral. Lineage: Eukaryota; Metazoa; Chordata; Mammalia; Rodentia; Muridae.